UUUGAUCCUGGCUCAGGAUGAACGCUGGCGGUAUGCUUAACACAUGCAAGUCGAACGGGACUCUUAGGAGAAUCUGGCUUCAGGUUCGGGACAACCACUGGAAACGGUGGCUAAUACCGGAUAUGCCUUUAGAGGUGAAAGAUUAAUUGCCUGAAGAUGAGCUCGCGUCUGAUUAGCUAGUUGGUGGGGUGAGAGCCUACCAAGGCGACGAUCAGUAACUGGUCUGAGAGGAUGACCAGUCACACUGGGACUGAGACACGGCCCAGACUCCUACGGGAGGCAGCAGUGGGGAAUUUUCCGCAAUGGGCGAAAGCCUGACGGAGCAAUACCGCGUGAGGGAGGAAGGCUCUUGGGUUGUAAACCUCUUUUCUCAGGGAAGAAAAAAUGACGGUACCUGAGGAAUAAGCAUCGGCUAACUCCGUGCCAGCAGCCGCGGUAAUACGGAGGAUGCAAGCGUUAUCCGGAAUUAUUGGGCGUAAAGCGUCCGCAGGUGGCAGUUCAAGUCUGCUGUCAAAGGUCAGGGCUCAACCCUGAACAGGCAGUGGAAACUGAAUAGCUAGAGUGCGGUAGGGGCAGAGGGAAUUCCCAGUGUAGCGGUGAAAUGCGUAGAGAUUGGGAAGAACACCGGUGGCGAAAGCGCUCUGCUAGGCCUGCACUGACACUCAGGGACGAAAGCUAGGGGAGCGAAUGGGAUUAGAUACCCCAGUAGUCCUAGCCGUAAACGAUGGAUACUAG
RNAcentral lists this ribosomal RNA (735 nucleotides) under uncultured cyanobacterium. RNAcentral describes it as "bacterial SSU rRNA". It matches the Rfam family "Bacterial small subunit ribosomal RNA", at positions 12 to 819 of the family's 1533-position model. Lineage: Bacteria; Bacillati; Cyanobacteriota. The record is from RNAcentral.